Molecule: ribosomal RNA, 450 nt
Filed under: uncultured bacterium
Lineage: Bacteria
Description: partial 16S ribosomal RNA
Rfam family: Bacterial small subunit ribosomal RNA
Source: RNAcentral
GUGGGGAAUAUUGGACAAUGGGCGAAAGCCUGAUCCAGCCAUGCCGCGUGUGUGAAGAAGGUCUUCGGAUUGUAAAGCACUUUAAGUUGGGAGGAAGGGCAGUAAGUUAAUACCUUGCUGUUUUGACGUUACCGACAGAAUAAGCACCGGCUAACUUCGUGCCAGCAGCCGCGGUAAUACGAAGGGUGCAAGCGUUAAUCGGAAUUACUGGGCGUAAAGCGCGCGUAGGUGGUUCAGUAAGUUGGAAGUGAAAUCCCCGGGCUCAACCUGGGAACUGCUUUCAAAACUGCUGAGCUAGAGUACGGUAGAGGGUAGUGGAAUUUCCUGUGUAGCGGUGAAAUGCGUAGAUAUAGGAAGGAACACCAGUGGCGAAGGCGACUACCUGGACUGAUACUGACACUGAGGUGCGAAAGCGUGGGGAGCAAACAGGAUUAGAAACCCGAGUAGUCC